UGUUUCGGCUAGGGGGCCAUCCCGGCUUACCAACCCGAUGCAAACUGCGAAUACCGGAGAAUGUUAUCACGGGAGACACACGGCGGGUGCUAACGUCCGUCGUGAAGAGGGAAACAACCCAGACCGCCAGCUAAGGUCCCAAAGUCAUGGUUAAGUGGGAAACGAUGUGGGAAGGCCCAGACAGCCAGGAUGUUGGCUUAGAAGCAGCCAUCAUUUAAAGAAAGCGUAAUAGCUCACUGGUCGAGUCGGCCUGCGCGGAAGAUGUAACGGGGCUAAACCAUGCACCGAAGCUGCGGCAGCGACGUUUAUGCGUUGUUGGGUAGGGGAGCGUUCUGUAAGCCUGCGAAGGUGGCCUGUGAGGGUUGCUGGAGGUAUCAGAAG
Molecule: ribosomal RNA, 381 nt
Filed under: Salmonella enterica subsp. enterica serovar Bareilly
Lineage: Bacteria; Pseudomonadati; Pseudomonadota; Gammaproteobacteria; Enterobacterales; Enterobacteriaceae
Description: partial 23S ribosomal RNA
Rfam family: Bacterial large subunit ribosomal RNA
Source: RNAcentral